This 73-nucleotide transfer RNA is filed under the name Heterocephalus glaber (naked mole-rat). It matches the Rfam family "tRNA". From Rfam's summary of the family: Transfer RNA (tRNA) molecules are approximately 80 nucleotides in length. Their secondary structure includes four short double-helical elements and three loops (D, anti-codon, and T loops). Further hydrogen bonds mediate the characteristic L-shaped molecular structure. tRNAs have two regions of fundamental functional importance: the anti-codon, which is responsible for specific mRNA codon recognition, and the 3' end, to which the tRNAs corresponding amino acid is attached (by aminoacyl-tRNA synthetases). tRNAs cope with the degeneracy of the genetic code in two manners: having more than one tRNA (with a specific anti-codon) for a particular amino acid; and 'wobble' base-pairing, i.e. permitting non-standard base-pairing at the 3rd anti-codon position. The record is from Rfam by way of RNAcentral. Lineage: Eukaryota; Metazoa; Chordata; Mammalia; Rodentia; Bathyergidae.
GGGGAUUUAGCUCAGUGGUUCUGGCGCCUGCCUUGCAAGUGGAAAGUCCUGAGUUCAAUUCCCGGUACCCCCC